RNAcentral lists this ribosomal RNA (147 nucleotides) under Clostridia bacterium. The record is from RNAcentral. Lineage: Bacteria; Bacillati; Bacillota; Clostridia.
UCCGGUGAUAAUGGCGUAGAGGAUCCACCUGUUCCCAUACCGCGCGAGCGCAGAGCGCGACACCCUGCCGAAGAUUCCCGUUUGCGGGAUACGGCAGAACACAGAAGUUAAGCUCUAUUGCGCCGCCCGUCGACGAAGUCGCCGCAC